Spinacia oleracea (spinach) is the source of this 775-nucleotide RNA transcript. RefSeq lists it as uncharacterized. The transcript is spliced from 3 exons. The record is from RefSeq and is a predicted model, not a curated record. Lineage: Eukaryota; Viridiplantae; Streptophyta; Magnoliopsida; Caryophyllales; Amaranthaceae.
GGGGUGAGACUUUAGAGGGUCAAGACUCCACACACACAGAGAGAAGAGAGAGAGAGAGAGAGAGAGAGAGAGAGAGAGAGAGAGAGAGAAAUGGAAGGAAUCGGAAUGCAGAUAGGAGUGCCAGUAGCAGCCAUCAUAGCAGUUGCUGCAGUCACGUUCUACGCAGUUAGCUUUUCUGAAAUUCGCGAGAAAUCUUUUAAAGAAUAUGAAGACAAGGAAGACGAAGAUGGCAUGGGAUUUCAGUCCUCUAUGAGCUCCAGAGAGCGCCGCGCUCGCAGAAAAGCUAACAAGAAAUCCAACACUUGAGAGUAAACUCUGAAAUCCCCCACACUCCCUCCGUCCCAGAUUAGUUUUUCAAAAUUAUGGGGCUAACAAGAAUAGCUCCAAUGGGCAUGUAAGCUGAAGAUAGAGCCUGCAAAAGCAACGGAAAUAAACAACCAAGUACCUAAAGCACAAAGAGACCGAGAUAUUAAAACAGGAUGUCUACCUUGGCCAUGGAGACAAGGUCUGGCUUAAGGUUGUAUUUAUCAGAACCAAACAUUUCUCCAAGUCUUCCAAACGCACAGAUAACCUACAGUGGACAAAACAGAAGGACGGGGGAAAAGUUUGCAUGAACAAGAGGAUGAAAGUUAAGAAGCGGACAGCACAAUAGUUAUCUCCUCGUCCCGUAAGAGGAAAAGUUUGCAUGAACAAGGGAAAAGAAGUGUAUGUAUAUAUACACAAUUUAUAUAACACAUACCUCAUCUGCAAUCAAGAGGAUGUCAUAUUUCUUCAA